CCUACGGGGGGCAGCAGUGAGGAAUAUUGGUCAAUGGGCGCGAGCCUGAACCAGCCAAGUCGCGUGAGGGAUGAAGGCUCUAUGGAUUGUAAACCUCUUUUAUAAGGGAAUAAAGUGUGGGACGUGUCCCAUUUUUUAUGUACCUUAUGAAUAAGGAUCGGCUAACCUCGUGCCAGCAGCCGCGGUAAUAUGGAGGAGCCGAGCGUUAUCUGGAUUUAUUGGGUUUAAAGGGUGCGUAGGCGGCCUGUUAAGUCAGCGGUGAAAGGCUGUGGCUCAACCCUGGAAUUGCAGUUGAAACUGGGGGGCUUGAGUGUGGUUGAGGCAGGCGGAAUGCGUGGUGUAGCGGUGAAAUGCUUAGAUAUCACGCAGAACCCCGAUUGCGAAGGCAGCCUGCCGGGCCAUGACUGACGCUGAGGCGCGAAAGCGUGGGGAUCAAACAGGAUUAGAUACCCCGGUAGUC
RNAcentral lists this ribosomal RNA (460 nucleotides) under uncultured bacterium. RNAcentral describes it as "partial 16S ribosomal RNA". It matches the Rfam family "Bacterial small subunit ribosomal RNA", at positions 338 to 795 of the family's 1533-position model. The record is from RNAcentral.